CUGCCUUCUAAGAGUUCAGUUGGAGCCAAUGUCUUUCUUUUGAACAUCUUGUGCCAGGAUUUGAAAUUAAGCUCCAGUUCAUCCGUACACCCCGCGGCCGCUUUCGCAAGGGGCCGAGGGGGUGGCGGCCUCGCCCGGGGACUCGCGGCGCUGGGAGCUGCCUGCCCUCGGUGCGGGCUGCAGACCGGGCCGCGAGGCGGGCCGGGCGCGGGCGCGCAACAGGACCAGCGGGCUCCAGGCCCGGGUGGGGCCGCGCCGCCGACCCCCGGGCGGGGCGCGGGCGCCAGGAGCCCGGGGUUCCGGGCCGCGAUCUGCUGCAGCUCGGCCGGGAGACGGCGCGACCCGGCGGCGGGGCCACCCGCGAGUCCAGCGUCGCCGCAGCCCCCCAAUGCGGCCGCGAGAAGCAGCGGGGGGGCAGGCGAUCGAAGGACUGUCAAACUAGGAGUGCAUCUCGGGGACACUCAGAAGCACUAGGAGCUGUCACAGAAGCACCACAUGGAACCCUGUUUGAUGACCCCGAGCAAUUAGAACUCAUUUGCAUGGCAUGGAAGGCCAAGGGGGGGCCCCCGAGGCUUUUUCAGCUCCCCCUUCUUCCGCGACUUCUCUGUAGACAGGUGCAUACUUCUGGCUAUGGCAAGGGCCAGCUGGCAGGAGGACUCUAACUUGUCAUCACAGAAAUAAAAUGUGUCACCUCUGUGUUCCCAACCUCUGUUCCUUCAUGUUUAACCAGCACUCUGCAUCUUUAUAAACAUGUCAGGGUUCUAUUUUUAUUUCCUAAUUAAUUCAGAAAAGGAGCAGAAGACAUUGCUAGUGAUAGGAAAGGGGACGAUCACAAAGGUAGGACUAAGGGUGGCUUUUAUUUUUCAGUUGAAUGAGGCAAUUGAAUGAAUAUGUGGCAUCCAGCAAUUAGAAAAAUUACUUAGGGCCAGCCAGUGCCUGGGCGAUUCUUGGGCUGCCCUGAAACUGGUCAGAAUUUAUU
This 979-nucleotide long non-coding RNA is filed under the name Rhinopithecus bieti (black snub-nosed monkey). Its description in RNAcentral is "lncRNA (ENSRBIG00000045321.1)". Lineage: Eukaryota; Metazoa; Chordata; Mammalia; Primates; Cercopithecidae. The record is from RNAcentral.